UACGUAGGGUGCAAGCGUUGUCCGGAAUUAUUGGGCGUAAAGGGCUCGUAGGCGGUCUGUCACGUCGGGAGUGAAAACUCGGGGCUUAACCCCGAGCCUGCUUCCGAUACGGGCAGACUAGAGGUAUGCAGGGGGAGAAUGGAAUUCCUGGUGUAGCGGUGAAAUGCGCAGAUAUCAGGAGGAACACCGGUGGCGAAGGCGGUUCUCUGGGCAUUACCUGACGCUGAGGAGCGAAAGUGUGGGGAGCGAACAGG
RNAcentral lists this ribosomal RNA (254 nucleotides) under uncultured bacterium. Its description in RNAcentral is "partial 16S ribosomal RNA". It matches the Rfam family "Bacterial small subunit ribosomal RNA", at positions 524 to 776 of the family's 1533-position model. The record is from RNAcentral.